Long non-coding RNA from Rhineura floridana, 1125 nucleotides. RefSeq lists it as uncharacterized. Lineage: Eukaryota; Metazoa; Chordata; Lepidosauria; Squamata; Rhineuridae. The record is from RefSeq and is a predicted model, not a curated record. The transcript has 4 exons.
UUCAGGGGGGGAGUCACAUGCAUGCAACCAGCUGCAACGUUGGGUCCGAGUCUUCCGCCAAUGUCACUCUAGUCCCUGUCUUAUUUUAUGGUUUCGCUCCGCUCCGUGAGAGGGGACGCUCAGGGGUGAUCGUGUCCACCGCCCUGGCCAUUUCCCCAUUCCAGAGGUCAACCGGGGCUUCAACAGAAUCACCUGCCGAAGAGCCAUCAGGAACCUAUCUGGGUCCAUCAGGCUCCUGGGGCAGACCAUCCUAAUCGGUCCCCCACCCCUGCAGAGGUUCUGAGUCCCAGUGAGUCUAGACCCAGCCAGAACGAGACCUCGCUUCCUGUAAGGAAGAAAGUGAAAGACUGUUUAUCCAGGUCCCCAAAGAAGAGGAGGAGGAGACCUCAGCAGAACCAGACCUUAUUUCCUGUUGGGAAGGAGGAGAAGAUCCGGUGAUGCAGGAACCCAAAGAAGAGGAGGAGACCUCAGCAGGCUGCCCAGCCCUGAACUGAAGGGAUGCAUCUGAGCCCCCCCACUGAUUUCCAUGGGGCAAUGAAGGCUGCAGUCCUGGGCACACACUUGGAAAUCAUGUGGGAUGAACUCCGAGGGACUUGCUUCUCAGUAAACACCUGCCUGCCACUUUGGCUGGAUUGGGCCUUCAGAGAUACACGGUCAAAAAUAUUAAUUAAAAAAAUCAGUGCAAAGGGUUUCCUCCUUCCCAGGAAAUGAAAGGUCCUCUCCGUCCCCACCAUAUGAACAAUGUCAGUUACACCUGUGAUGUUCCUGCUUAUAUUGUAAAUAUGGUAAGUGCUGGUUAUAUAAAAGACAUAUGGUAAGUGGAGUGGAAGAGGAGGGGGAGUACAUGAGCAGUAGAAUGCUGGAUGAUUGGCUGAGGAUUUGAAUGGCUGGGAGUAUAAAUGGAAGAAUGACAGUUGAAUCAGGGUGGUUGUUGUGGUGGAUGUUGGAGGUUGAGAGAGGUGUUUAGAGGUUGUUGUUGUUGUUGAGAGUGAGUCGGAGUUCUGAGGCAAUUAAUGAGAAGUAAAGUACAUGUCAGAAUAUAGAUGAAACCAUAUGCUUGUAAACAAAGUCUUAAGUAAUCUUGUUACUUCUAAUACUAAAUAAAUAUUUCUUGGUUAAACAAAA